This is a non-coding RNA of Gymnopus androsaceus JB14, 93 nucleotides long. The record is from the annotation of a GenBank genome assembly. NCBI's taxonomy places the organism in Eukaryota, Fungi, Basidiomycota, Agaricomycetes, Agaricales, Omphalotaceae.
GGCACUGUGGGGUAAUGGUUAACCUGAGGCUUCACUAUGAUUUCUCCAUUUUGUGACGUAGCCUAACUGCGAGUUCGAAUCUCGCCAGCGCCG